RNAcentral lists this ribosomal RNA (818 nucleotides) under uncultured bacterium. RNAcentral's name for it is "bacterial SSU rRNA". It matches the Rfam family "Bacterial small subunit ribosomal RNA", at positions 21 to 880 of the family's 1533-position model. The record is from RNAcentral.
GGCUCAGGAUGAACGCUGGCGGUAUGCUUAACACAUGCAAGUCGAACGGGAAUCUUAGGAUUCUAGUGGCGGACGGGUGAGUAACGCGUGAGAAUUUGGCUUCAGGUCGGGGACAACAGUUGGAAACGACUGCUAAUACCGGAUAUGCCGGAAGGUGAAAGAUUUAUUGCCUGAAGAUAAGCUCGCGUCUGAUUAGCUAGUUGGUGGGGUAAGAGCCUACCAAGGCGACGAUCAGUAGCUGGUCUGAGAGGAUGAUCAGCCACACUGGGACUGAGACACGGCCCAGACUCCUACGGGAGGCAGCAGUGGGGAAUUUUCCGCAAUGGGCGAAAGCCUGACGGAGCAAUACCGCGUGAGGGAGGAAGGCUCUUGGGUCGUAAACCUCUUUUCUCAGGGAAGAAAAAAAUGACGGUACCUGAGGAAUAAGCAUCGGCUAACUCCGUGCCAGCAGCCGCGGUAAUACGGAGGAUGCAAGCGUUAUCCGGAAUGAUUGGGCGUAAAGGGUCUGUAGGUGGUGCUGUAAGUCUGCUGUUAAAGAGUCACGCUCAACGUGAUAAAAGCGGUGGAAACUACAGGACUAGAGUGCGGUCGGGGCAGAAGGAAUUCCUGGUGUAGUGGUGAAAUGCGUAGAUAUCAGGAAGAACACCGGUGGCGAAAGCGUUCUGCUAGUCCGCAACUGACACUGAGGGACGAAAGCUAGGGGAGCGAAUGGGAUUAGAUACCCCAGUAGUCCUAGCCGUAAACGAUGGAUACUAGGCGUGGCUUGUAUCGACCCGAGCCGUGCCGGAGCUAACGCGUUAAGUAUCCCGCCUGGGGAG